UACGGGGGGAGCAAGCGUUGUUCGGAUUUACUGGGCGUAAAGGGCGCGUAGGCGGCGCAACAAGUCACUUGUGAAAUCUCCGGGCUUAACCCGGAGCGGCCAAGUGAUACUGUCGUGCUAGAGUGCGGAAGGGGCUACUGGAAUUCUCGGUGUAGCGGUGAAAUGCGUAGAGAUCCGGAAGAACACCGGUGGCGAAGGCGGGUCUCUGGGCCGAUACUGACGCUGAGGAGCGAAAGCGUGGGGAGCGAACAGG
This 253-nucleotide ribosomal RNA is filed under the name uncultured bacterium. RNAcentral describes it as "partial 16S ribosomal RNA". It matches the Rfam family "Bacterial small subunit ribosomal RNA", at positions 524 to 776 of the family's 1533-position model. The record is from RNAcentral.